UACGUAGGGUGCAAGCGUUACUCGGAAUUACUGGGCGUAAAGCGUGCGCAGGCGGUUGUGUAAGUCAGAUGUGAAAUCCCCGGGCUCAACCUGGGAACUGCAUUUGUGACUGCACAGCUGGAGUGCGGCAGAGGGGGAUGGAAUUCCGCGUGUAGCAGUGAAAUGCGUAGAUAUGCGGAGGAACACCGAUGGCGAAGGCAAUCCCCUGGGCCUGCACUGACGCUCAUGCACGAAAGCGUGGGGAGCAAACAGG
RNAcentral lists this ribosomal RNA (253 nucleotides) under uncultured bacterium. RNAcentral describes it as "partial 16S ribosomal RNA". It matches the Rfam family "Bacterial small subunit ribosomal RNA", at positions 524 to 776 of the family's 1533-position model. The record is from RNAcentral.